This 74-nucleotide transfer RNA is filed under the name Durgades nigropicta. Its description in RNAcentral is "tRNA-Thr". The record is from RNAcentral. Lineage: Eukaryota; Metazoa; Arthropoda; Insecta; Hemiptera; Cicadellidae.
AUAUUAGUAAUUUAAUAAAAAUAUUAAUCUUGUAAAUUAACUAUGAGAAUAUUUUAAACAUUUCUCCUAAUAUA